UUAAGCCCACAUGAAAGAGUAAUCCCGAUUUUACAACGUAAACCGUAUAGGUACGUACGGUGCGUCCGUUCGACGGAAAAAGGCGCACAAACGGAACCGAAAUGUGUAACGAAGAAUAAUUUGCAGAGCAGCACCGCACCAGCGCACACUGUUGCGGAUGGCAUAAAAACGUGAUCGAAAUUAUUUUGACCAUGAAAACAUGAUUUUUGAUCUUUGGUGUCUUCGGCAAAGUUUUUCUAUAAAAUAAGCCCUAAUUUAUGGAAACAUCAGUUUUGUGAUCAACCCCCCUAAAAGUGAGAAACGAUUUCUAUCUUUUUUAUUUGUAAACUAAAAAAAUAUGUUUGUUCAGAGAAGUUGUAGACAAUUUUACUAGAAACAACUUUGCUGAACAUACAAAAUUUCUAUCUUUUGAUUUGUAUGUACAUUUGAGGCGUUUUUUAUGAAGCACCCCUAAAAAUCAGUUUUUUGCUUAUAACUUUUUCUACGCAUUUUUCACAAUUUCUAAAUGUUCUAGCAAAUGUUUUGCCUUAUCAAAACGCGUAACUUUUGCGAAGAAAGUAUAUAUCUAUCUCUCAUAUUUAUCAUGUUAUUGGAAAUUUCACUUAAAAAAAUGCUUAUGUUUGACAUACCCAUUUGUUAACUUUCGCACGUUUUCGCAGGCCAGCAUUUUCACAUUUGAAAAUAUGGAACGAGUUUUAUCCGUUGCAAAUAUAGCCAGUUUUAGCCUGAUUUCGCCUGUAUAUUAAAAUUCACAUACUAGAAAUGACUAUCAUUAUAAAAUGUGUCAUUGUAAAACGAUCAACAUAUCAAAAAAUGUACUCAGUGCUUUUCUUACAUGAUUUUCCCACAUGAACACCCAAAAACGUUUUCACAGAAUCACUUGGAACUGCAUCAGAUGACUUUCCCAUACAAUUUAAGUUUUUUUUUUUUCAGAUAAACAGUAGUGGUUCUCAAAGUAACACGAUAAGUCUCUUCCACAUAAUAAACGAUAUUGUUUAAUGCUCAUAAAAUUUUUCGUGUCCAUGUACUCUUUGCAGAAAUGCUAAUUUUCAGAAUGUUCAAAUAACAACAUCUAAUGAUUCGUUUAAAGUUGGUUUUCAAUUUGUUUACUUGAAAAAUAUAACUUAUCUGUUAUUAUUAACACAUAUCAUUGAUUAACGUCAUCACUAAUUCCAUUGCUUCCAUUUACUAUCUCGUCAUAUGUUUAGAGCAAAUGGUUUUUCGCAUCCUACGUUUAUGAUGUUAUAGUUAUUUUUUCGGAAAUAGUCCAAUAUUGUUGUAAGCAGUCGAUGUAAAAGAUCUGUGUUGGUUUGGAUUCUUGUAAACUUACGUGUAUUAUCCUCUCUGUAAUUCCUGAUGUCUUUGUUGCGUGACUUUUGUGCUUCCUCGGGCAGAAAAAAAACUUAUAUACAGUAACUGGAACAAUACAUUUAAUGAUGUCAGUAAUCAAAGAUAUGUGUUAAUAUUAACAGAUAAGUUAUAUUUUUCAAGUUAACAAAUUAAAAAUCAAUUUUAAUCAAAACAUUAGUUGCUGUUAUUUGAACCUUCUGAAAUUUAACAUUUUCGCAAAGUGUACAUGAACACGAAACAUUUUAUGAGCAUUGGCAAGAGCACAAUAUCGUUUAUUAUGUGGAAGAGACUUAUCGUACUCUUUUGAGAGCCACUGUUUAUCUGAAAAAAAAACUUAAAUUGUGUGGGAAAGUCAUCUGAUGCUGUUCCAAGUGAUUCUGUGAAAACGUUUUUGCGUGUUCAUGAGGGAAAAUCGUGUAAGAAAAGCACUGAGUACAUUUUUUGAUAUGUUGAUCGUUUUACAAUGAUACAUUUUAUAAUAAUAGUCAUUUCUAGUAUGUGAAUUUUAAUAUACAGGCGAAAUCAGGCUAAAACUGGCUAUAUUUGCAACGGAUAAAACUCGUUCCAUAUUUUCAAAUGUGAAAAUGCUGGCCUGCGAAAACGUGCGAAAGUUAACAAAUGGGUAUGUCAAACAUAAGCAUUUUUUUAAGUGAAAUUUCCAAUAACAUGAUAAAUAUGAGAGAUAGAUAUAUACUUUCUUCGCAAAAGUUACGCGUUUUGAUAAGGCAAAACAUUUGCUAGAACAUUUGGAAAUUGUGAAAAAUGCGUAGAAAAAGCUAUAAGCAAAAAACUGAUUUUUAGGGGUGCUUCAUAAAAAACGCCUCAAAUGUACAUACAAAUCAAAAGAUAGAAAUUUUGUAUGUUCAGCAAAGUUGUUUCUAGUAAAAUUGUCUACAACUUCUCUGAACAAACAUAUUUUUUUAGUUUACAAAUAAAAAAGAUAGAAAUCGUUUCUCACUUUUAGGGGGAUUGAUCACAAAACUGAUGUUUCCAUAAAUUAGGGCUUAUUUUAUAGAAAAACUUUGCCGAAGACACCAAAGAUCAAAAAUCAUGUUUUCAUGAUCAAAACAAUUUCGAUCACGUUUUUGGGCCAUCCGCAACAGUGUGCAGCGGCCCCAAACGGAACGGACAAUAAUUCGUGAGGGAAGGCUAGCCCAGGCCAGUCAGCCAGCCAGCCAGCACUACAAUGGAUUACGCCGCGUAAUGAGGUGGUGUAAAUAUGGUUAAUGAUUCAUCAAAAUUAGCUAAUGCGAUCCGUUUUUCUCGGUUCACGCCCGCCUGUGGAACUUUGCGCCCGGUUGUGGUCGGUAGGUAUAUGGAUGGACCUCUAUUGGGAAUAUAAACGUUGCUUUUAUUGGAGGGAUUUUUUUUUCUGGGAAUUUGGUAGAGUUCGUGCGGUACAUGUUUCAAAUUGGGUGACCUUAAACGCUUUCUUAUGGGGUUCUGAAAGUUUCUGCUUGGAAAUUGGUGUGGAGUGGAUAACCCAUAUAGCAAAAUUUUCAGUUUUGGGCGAGAAAACUGCUUUUGAGUUGUCAUAGAAUUCCUCUCAGUAUUCUUCCUGAGAUUUCUUCAAGUACUCUUCUAAGUAUUCACACGGGAUUGCUCCAUUGAUUUCUCAUGAUUUUCAACGUCUUCUAGGUUUCCGUCAAGGAUUUCUUCAGGGAUUUGUUUAUUGAUUUUGCUUGAGAAUCUUUCACACUUUACCGACAUUUUCAGGGGAUUCUUUUUGAGAUUAUUUCCGGUAAUUUCUCCCGGGAUUCCUUCAGGAAUUCUGACAAGGAUUCCUCCGGUUUUUUUUUCUGGAAAUCCGUUAGGAAUUUCUCUUAGAAUUCUUCCAUUGAUUUCUUUUUUUCCUUCCUUUAGGGAGAAUAUUUUCAGGAUUUCUUCAGAAAUAUUUUCCGGCAAAUCCAUCAGGAAUUCUUCCCGGGAUUCCAUAUAUGAUGUCUCCCGGAAUUUUUACAGUGAUUUCUCAUUUAAUUCCUUUAGAAAAUUCUUUCUAGAUUCCUUACGGUAUUUUUACGGAUUAUUCUUGAGAUUCCAUCAGGAAUUCUCCGUGGAUGCUUCCUGGGUUUUAUCCCGAGAUUCCUUUAGGGAUUUUCUCGGUAUUAAUUCCUACAUUCACACAGGUAUUCCUACGGAGAUUCAUUGAAUGAUCCUUUUGGGGAUUCUUCUUGGCUUUUUAAAGGAAUUCCUACAUUGCACAGUGGUCCACGAAACAGAUUUACGAGGAAAGAUGCAUUCAGCGCCUUCAAAUGAUUUUCUAGAUUAAUAUGGUCUUCUACAAAGUUGUUCCUGAAAUUAAGGCCCUCUUUUCAAUAUACAUGAAAAUUCUUCGGGAUAUUGUAGAUCUAUCAGUUUUGAGCAAGUUGGCUGAAGACACUUUUUAUGUACCUUUAAAAUUGACCGAUCCAGAGGUAUUUUUCUGAAUAGGCUAGGGUGGUUCAAGAAAAACCGGUUUUUUGGCGUUAACUUUUUCAGUUUCGAUUUUUCAUCAAAGUCGCCCAGGAAACACACCAUUUGAAGACGCGUCGUUUCGUGCGCUGAGAUGGUCGUUAUUUCUUUUGGUUCAAAAGUUACAGGCAUUUUUCUUGAAAAAUCAUAGUUUUUUAAAAACGUUUUAUGACGGGUUGGGCAAACAAAAAAAUAUCUUUUGCCCGCAUUCAAAAGAACAAAUGUUGUUAUAAGACAUAUCAAAAAAUUUGAGGAGUGUUAUAUUUGUAACUCAAGUGAAAAAUACUUGAAAAGUGCCUAUUGUUUCUAGAAAAUCAUUGAUAUCUUUUGAACGGAUUGACGUAGCAACAUUCUCAGCGCACGAAAAUGUGCGUUUUUUAAAGCUCUAAAAAUGAUUCUUAACCUUCCGUAACUCGCGCGGUUGACUACCUGCGUCAGCAUCACGCUAAUGCUGAGUACAAAAAGCGAGAUUUUUUCAACGUGUUGUACAAAAUACAACAGCGCGAUCGCUCGAGGGUUAAACUUCACCAAAUUUGGAGCAUUUUCCUAUAGUUUUCAUAGGGUGACGCUAGAACAAAUCGUUUUAUUGCUUUAUCUUUUUUGUUUCAAAUUUCUCGUCAAAGUCGCCUAAGAACCACUUUUAGAGCUUCCAAAAACGCGCAUUUUCGUGCGCUAAGAAUGUUGCUACGUCAAUCCGUUCAAAAGAUAUCAAUGAUUUUCUAGAAACAAUAGGCACUUUUCAAGUAUUUUUCACUUGAGUUACAAAUAUAACACUCCUCUAAUUUUUUUGAUAUGUCUUAUAACAACAUUUGUUCUUUUGAAUGCUUGCAAAAGAUAUUUUUAUUUGUUUGCCCCAACCCAUCAUAAACCCUUUUUAGAAAACUAUGACUUUUAAGGAAAAACGCCUGUAACUUUUGAACCAAAAGAGAUAACGACCAUCUCAGUGCACGAAACGACGCGUCUUCAAAUGCUCUACAAGUGUUUCUUGGGCGAUUUUGAUAAAAAUUGAAACUGAAAUAGUUAACGCCAGAAAACCGGUUUUUCUUGAACCACCCUAAGCUUAUUCAGAAAAAUACCUCUAGAUCGGUAAAUUUCAAAGCUACAUAAAAUGUGUCUUCAGCAAACUUGCUCAAAAUUGAUAGAUCUACAACUUUCCCGAAGAAUGUAUACAGUUAUUCUUGCAAAUAAAAAAGUAUGGUUACCAACUUCUUUGAAAAUAUGGACCACCCUGAUUUUCAUGCAUAUUUUAAAGAGUGCCUUAUUAUUAGGGACAACUUCGUGGAAACCCCUAUUUGCCUAAAAACUCAUUUGAUGGCGUUGAAUGCAUCUUUCCUCGUAAAUCUGGUUCGUGGACCACUGUGCAUUGGUUUCUUAGGGGUUUAGAAAUUUCUCCUGGGUGUUACUCAAGGAUUCCUUCACAGAUUCCAUCAAGAAGUCUUGCCUGGAUUCCUCCAGAGAUUCCCCCGCGAUUUCUUUAUUAAUUUCUCCUGAAAUUCUUAAAAGGAUUUUUCCGGAAUUUCAUUUAGCGAGAACCACCGGGAAUCCUCUCAGAAUUCUCGCCGCGAUUCCUUCAUGAAUCCUGCCCGAGUUUUCUAUAAGGAUUCCUCCAUAAAUUCUUUCCGGAAUUCCUCCCGGGAUUUAUUUGGGGAUUUCUACAGGAAAUUCUUCCGAAAUUCGUUCAAGGAUAUUUUCCGGAUCCCACCAAGGACUGCUUUCGGGAUUUUUACAAUGAUUCCUCCCGGGUUCACUUCCUCUAGGAUUCUUUCUGGGACUCCGGGAUUUUGAUUCUUCAGGACUGUCUUCAGGAAUUCCUUCCGGGAUUUCUUCAUUGAUUUUGCCUAAGAUUUCUUUGUAGAUUCCUUCUGAUAUACAUUUCAGGAUUGUUUCCGGCCCUUGUGGGAUUGCUUCUGAGAUUCGUUCAUUGAUUUCUCCCGAGAAAAACCCUUUAUGGCUUCUUAAGCCAAAGUUGGCUUAAGAGUGAUUUCUUCCACUCUUCUACAGCAUAAUUGUUUGUUGGGUAUUGCUUCUGAGAUUCCUUCGGGGAUUCCUCCAGGGAUUCCAAGAAUUCCAACACUAAUUCCGAUUGGGAAUCCUCCAGAAACUCUAGCAAUGCACCCUAUCAGGUAUUUCUCCUGGGGUUCCUUCAGGGAUUCCUCUAGGAUUGUUUCAGAAAUCUCUCUCGUGAUUCUUCCAGAGAUUCCUCCAGGAAAUUUAAUGGGAUUCUUUUGUGAUUCAUGCAUAGAUUACUCCUACAUUCUUUAAGGGAUUUCUGUCCUGGGUUUCUCCCGGGAUUCCUUCAGGGAUUUCUUCCGGGCUUGCUUCCGGAUUUCAUUCGAAAUUCUUUUGGGAAAUCUUUCCGAGAUGAUAUCUCCAGGAACCCUUUCAGGAUUCCUUCCUAAAUUUUCCCUGAGGUUCCUUCAGAGAUUCCACCAAGAUUCACUCAGAGAUCCUUCUUGAGAUUUUUUCAAGAAUUCUUCAGGAGAUUCUUUCAGGAAUUUCUCCAGAUAUUUUUUUUGGGAUUUCUGCGAGGAUUACUUCAUGUGGGUAUGGGUAUUUUCCAUAGUGGGGUCUCCAGUUAGUCUAGUGGUUAAGGCUAUGGAUCGUCAAUCCGGAGACAGAGGGUUCGAUUCCCGUUCCAGUCGGGAAAAUUUUCUCGACUUCCUGCGCAUAGUGUAUCAUUGUGCUUGCCUCACAAUAUACAAAUUCAUGCAAUGGCAGGCAAAGAAUGCCCUUCAAUUAAUAACUGUGGAAAUGCUCAAAGAACACUAAGUUGAAGCGAGGCAGGCCAAGUCAUAGUUGGGAAGAAGAAUAUGCUGCAAAGGCAGGAGAAUGACCGUAAAUCGAUCCAGACAUUCUGGUCUUGCUGAAUGAAAAAAAAAAAGUUUGAAUGAGAUCAAAUAAGUGAAACAUCUAAAGAAUCAACUAGGGACAAAUGGAGAACGUCACUUACUUGCUAUCUGGUAUCAUUCUGGGACAUUACAAAGUUUUACAUAAUAAGCUUCAUUAUACAACACUUUUCUGUUGCAUAAUGUGCACCAUUAUGCAACACUUUAAAAUUUGAUGAAAAACACUAUGCCACUAUGCCACACUAUCCAAUAGUAUAAACUAGUCCAUCAGGUCGUUUUCAGCGGUGGUCCAUUUUUUGGUCCAAAUUUAUAACAGUUCUAAAAAUUUGGAACCCCAAAAAUAGACCAAAUUAUGUUCAGUUCCACCGGUAUUUGUCCUCGGAGAUUAGUUAAAUUCACAAUCCUAGAAGUUUGUUGAGAAUUCUUCUAGGAGAUCCGUCAAGGAAGUUCCUUCGGAAAUUCCCCAGAAGUUUCUUAAAGAAUUCUCUGGAGAAAUCCUCCAGGAGUUCCUCCGGGAAUCCCUCCAAGAGUUCGUCCGAGAAUUGCUGCAGAAGUUCCUCCGUGAGCUGCAACAGAAGUUCAUCUGGGAAUUGUUCCAGGAGUUCCUUCGGAAAUACCUCCAGGAGUUCGUCCGGAAAUUGCUCCAGGAGUUCCUCUGGGAAUUACUCCAGGAGUUUUUUCCGGGAAUUACUCCAGGUCCUCUGGGAAUUACUCCAGGAGUUCCUCCAGGAAUUGCUACAGGAGUUCCUUCGGGAAUUACUCCAGGAGUUUUUCCGGGAAUGACUCCUGGAGUUCUUCGGAGUGUUGCUCCAGGAGUGCCUCCGAGAGCUGCUCCAGGAGUUCCUCUGAGAAUUUCUCCAUCAGUUCCUUCGGAAAUUUCUUCAAUAGUCCCUAUGUAAAAUCCUUGGUGAGUUCCUCCGGAAAUUGCUCAAGUAGCUUCUCCGGGAAUCCCUGCAGGGAUUCUUUCAGGAAUCCCUUCAAGAGGUUUCGUUGGAAAAUCAUUCAGAAGUUUCUCUGGGAGUUCCUCUACGAGUUUCUAGGAAAUUCCUCCAGUAUUUCUUCCGAAAAUUCUUUCAGCAUUUCCUUCGGAAAUUUCCUUAGGACUUCUUCCGAAAAUUGCUUCAAGAGUUGCUUCAGGAGUUUCUCUGUGAGUUCCUUCGGGAGCCCUUCUGGGAAUUCCUGCAGGAAUUCCUCCAGCAAUUCUUCUAGGAACUCCUGCAAGAAUUCCCCCGGCAAUAUUUCAGGAGUGCUUCAACAAUUCCUCCAAAUUUCUCCAGGAACUCCACCGUUUUUUCCGAAAAUUGCUCCAGGAGUUCGUCCUGGAAUUGCUCUAAGAUCGUGGUCACCAAAGUGCGGCCCGCGGGCCGCACGUGACGUCUAGUUCUCUAUGUUGCCGUAGAAUUCCUUACAAUAUUUGUUACGGAAGUGGUUCUACUCCCGAAAUACUCAAGAAUAACGUGUUGAAUAUUUCACAAAUCGGUCCAGAUGUUGCAAUACAAUCAGGAUCACUGCUCUAGGAGUUCCUCCCGGAAUCGCUUUAGGAAUUGCUCCGGAAUUUAUUUCAGGAGUUGCUCAGUGAGUAGAUCCAGGAGUUCCUCUGGGAAUUACUCCAGGUGUUUCUCCGAAAACUGCGCCAAGAGUUUUGUCGGGAAAUUUCCCCCAGUAUUUCCGCCGGCAAUGCUACCGGAAGGUCCUCCGGCUAUUACUCCAGGAGUUCCUCCGCAAAUUCUUCCUGCAGUUCCUUAUUCUCUAUGAAUUCCUCCGGAAGCCCUUCUGGGAAUUCCUCCUUGCAUUCCCCCAGCAUUUUUUCUAGGAAUUCCUGCGAGAAUUCCUCCAGGAGUUGCACCGGAAAUUCUUUCAAGGGGUACUUCGAAAAUUCCUUCUGGAGUUUCACCGGAAAUUUCCUCAGGUGUUUUUCCGAAACUUUUUCCAGGAGCUCCUCUGGGAGUUCUUCUGGCUUUCGUCAAGGAGUUCUUCUAUAUUUUCCUCCAGAAAUUCCUCCAAGAACUUUCUCAACAAUUUUUUAAGGAGUAUUUUCAGGAAUUCCUCCAGGAUUAUCUUUAGGAGUUCCUCCGUGGGUUACUCCAGAAGUUCCUCUGGGAAUUGCUACAGGAGAUUAUACGAGAACAACUCCAGGAGUUCAUGCGAGAUUUGUUCCAGGAGUGCUUCCGUUAGUUGCAGGAAUCACUAGGAGUUCCUCCAGAAAUUGCUCUAGGAUUUCCUCCGGGAAUUGCUCCAACAGGUUCUCCGUGAAUUGCUUCAGGAGUUCUUCUGGGAAUUGCUCCGUUAGUUCUUUCGGAAAUAACUCCAGGAAUUCCUUUGGUUCCUUUAGCAAUUCUUCUAGGAGUUGCUGCGUAGAAUCAUCCAUAAAUUCCUCCGAGAGUUUCUCCGGGAAUUUUCCAGAAGUUCCUUCGAUAAUUUCUCCGGAUUUUUUUUUUUUCAUAUGUUCCUCCGAGAGUUGCUCCGGGAAUUUUCCCUUUCUUUGAAGGUCAAACGUUUUUCAGAGCCCAUUAUAUAAAUCAUAAAUGAGGGGGUUAGAAGCAAAGGGGUGUAAGUGACAAAAACCCACUUUCGAGUAAAUGAGGUUUAAUGUUUUUGACCAAUUUUUCAUUCCAUACAAAAUGUAUGAAACUUAAAAAUGAACCCAAUUUUCUCUGAUUUAUUGUAAUUUUCCCAAUCAUCGUAGAAACAAUCUUUAAAAAGUUCCUGAAAGCUUGAAAUCUGUAGAAUUUUAUGAUAUGCUCAACUCAAAAUCGACAAAAUGGUCACUUACACCCCUUUGAUUCUGGGCCCCUCAAAUGUUCAAAAUUUCAUUGCAUUCGGUUUAUUGAAUCCGGAGGUAUAACAGUUCAAAGUUGGCUAUCGAAUAACUACCUUUUUCUAAAAUCUUUAUAACUUCUGGCAGCAAGGAUGGAAAUCUAGUGAUCAUGAUAAGAUCCCGAAUGUGUCGCGGUUGAAGCGCAUCGCGCGAUCAUAGCAACAACGAUAGAACCUUGUCGUCAAGCAUUAUAACAAAUCACGCUCCGCGAAAAUUGAAUCGCGAGGCAUGUGCGGCCAUGAUGCGAUCGUUAUCAUGCAGAAGAAAUGAUAAAUACCGAAAAUUAUUCACUUUUUGUGCAUUCUUGUUGCUCUAAUAUCAAGAUAUGCCAAUGAAUGUAUUGUUUUUAAUCAUGAGUUCUGUUUAUUGGUUCAUAAGUGGUUUAAAUCCAAGUUCAAAUCAUGAUGAAUAAAAUUUAUCGCGACUUGUAACAUAAUCCGAUAACGUGUGAUCCCAUGAUAAAGAGUGCAUCAGAUGCUUGGAUUGCCUGUGAUCCCAUGAUACAAGCACGGGGCGAAGGUGUCGGCAUCAUGCUACUGCAAGAGCAAAGGCAAUCUUGGAUUGUUCGUAUCCUGUAUCAUUUGUCACUAGAAGUGAUUUUCUUCCAUCCUUGUCUGGCAGAAUAGCCCGAACGAUUUCAAAUUAUGACCACUAAUUCACAACUAGUCGAUCAACUUACAGUUAAAAUUUGAGAACACAGAUCGAAAAACGAGUGUUAAUUUCGGUGACAUACAAUGCACAUGAUUGGAGCGUGGGAUAUCACAGAAGUUUACAUGACAUAUCAUGUAAAAGUCAUAAAAUAUCAUGUAAACUUCCAUUACAUGUCGUGUAAUUCAGCAUGGCUCUGAGUUUUUACAUGUAAUAGGGUAUCGGGAUGCUUCGUUGGCAUAGUCCCCUCGUUCGGCCUAUCUCAACGUAAACCAAAAACUCAAACAAACACGCAUAACUGGAUAUCGCCAAACAACUGUAACAUUUCGUUUCAAUUUUAGCACGUUGGAACAUUAAAAUUAAAUGAAAAUGUCACUUUGUUUAGCCUUUGCAGACGCCAUGAUUCCUCGGCUUAGUGGACAGUCUAUACACAUUAUCAUAAAUGGCAUGAUUCUGGAACAUUUCGAAAUGACUUUUCAAUAACUGAACAUUUGAUGUGACAGCCAAAGACGCUAUUUUGAACUUGUGUAUUUGUUUUCAACGAAUAAUAACUAUUUUACAAAUUGAAUGUGGGCCGAAUAUUGAGGACAUUUUUUUUACUAUAUACCCAAAUCUUGGCCCACCCGUAAAGUGACGUCAAAAACACCGAUAAAAAAGACGUAAACAACAUUUCUUGCGUAAGAACCAGAAAGAACGAACAGUAAGAAAGAUUUUGUGAGCUGUGACUGUAAAAAAUAUAACACAAUAAUAGGGUUGCGUUGUUUUCAUUACUAAAUUAAGAAAGAACUUUAGUUUAAGUGCUUUAUUUAUAGUUUUUUGAAAAUUUGGCUCCGAAAAUGUAAUUUAAGGGUAAGAUUGGUGAACAGAGAGAACUUCAGCAGAAAUAUUGAAAAAAAAAAUGAGAUAAUUAGUGGUUCUAGUGCAUGGAAAGCAAUAGGCCAACGUUGUAUCCACUAAUAGGCCAAUUUUUGUACCAUAGACCAACGUUGCAUACCAUCGCAUCGAAUCUUUUCAACUUAAUUAAGUGAAUUCUUGAAUAUUUACUUUAGUUUACUUCCAAUUGGUGAAAUAUGCAUUUACCUAGAGUGUGGAAUAGGGUCAACCUCAACAUAGUAUUUCUAGUGCUAUUAAAUCAUGAGUUAUGGUCAAAAUUGCCAAGGCGGCUUGCAAAUUAGGCCAAGGAAUGGUACAUAUACCCUAUAACACAAAUUUACAUGAUAUAUCAUGUAAACCAUCAUAAAAUUAAGUUUACAUGACUAAAAUGAAGUUUACAUGACGUGUAAAUCCAAUUAUUUUUAUCUGUGAAUAUUUGAUGCACUUCUCAAAAUGUUACAGCUAGUUGAACAUUUUUUGAGAAGUGAACAUUUUGCCUGUCCCGAUCAUUUUGUCUAUCCCCUGUAUAUCGAUAUUUUAUGGAAUGACUGUGUGUGUAUAUAGAUUUGAUGUUUAGUGGGUUUUCCAAGGAAUCUACGACAUUCGUUUUCUAAUCGCGAUUUUCGUGAAAUCUGUGACGUUGCAAUUCUUGCAACCCUACAAUCGUCAUCCAGCCCUACCUUUAAAUUUUCCAGGCAUAUAAAAUCACGUAAGAAUCGACAAGUACAAAAUUUAUGAUAAAUGUCACCUGCUGAAGUACUGAUAAGCGACUGAUAAAGGGAUAAUAAUACUGCUAUUACGUAGAUAUAUUACGACAAUUCAAGCUCAAAGAAGAUAAGCGAUAAGCUACCGGGAAGCCACUUCAGAUUUAAACUGUCAUUGAUACUAUCAUUGGUCUUUACGGCACACAAUCCUAUCCAUUCUUUCCGGCAACCAGUCUACACCGGUUGAUUUUCGGUCGGCCUAGGUAUAAUAAACAUACACGCGAAUCGUACGACGAUAGGUGUAAAUAUCAAAAACCACGAUAAUGACGAAGACCGCGAGAACGGAAUGGUCGGACGGAACAAUGUCCAGCGCCCAGCGCAGCGGCGGCACAACGACACGCAUCCAUCCAGAAAAAGAAGUGCGACAGCGAUGACGAUGACCGGUACAACGCCGCGGCCGGUGAGUGAGCUUGUGGGAAGACCAAAAAAGCCUACAAACACCACACAGAGAUGACAACAAAACUGAAAAAAAAAAAUCGGACACGUUGCAGGAAAGUAGCGCUGUUUAUAAGGGGGGACGCCCGGCCGGUGGAGCUUGCUUGAUUGGUUGGGUGGUGGUAGUUCUACAUAUUCUCGCGCCCGAUGUGAAGAUAGUUUGUCGCUCCGGCGCAGUGGUUCCCGAACGUUGUCAUUCGGUUCUGAUCAUGUUGAUCUGUUCUUAUGUGUAUUGGAGAAGCAUUGAAACUUUUGAUCAAUUACGAAAAUUGAAUGCUCUUCUUCUUCUUCUUCUUGGCGUAACGUCCCCAUUGCACUGGAACAAAGCCUGCUCCUCAGCUUAGUGUUCUAUGGGCACUCUCACAGUUAUAAACACUCAGAGCUUGCUCAGCCAAUGACCAUUUUGUAUGUGAGACAGGCACGAAAAGACUCUAUAUCUAAGAAAGUCGAAGAUCUUUCCGCAAUGAAAAGUUCCUGGACCCACCGGGAAUCGAAUCCGUCAUCGUCAGCAUGGUCUUGCUGUACAGUGUAUCUGUUGGCACGAAGUAAAGCCUUGAAUUAUGUUGUUAAUAAAUAAGUCAUUAGUUGUUCAAACCCGUAACUGAGUAGACGUUCAUUUCACUGUGCUAAGAGGUUAUUGGCCCAGCCUUAACAACCGUUACUCGGGAAAGUCAACAUAAGUGAAAAUUUUGUUUCGUGAACUCGGAACAUUUACCAAUCAUGAGUCGUGAAGGUGGAGAUGGUUCCAGAGGAGUUCCGGCGAAUAACGGACCAAGGAUCAAUUCGAGCAGCGUAUCUUUGCCGAUUGGAGAGAGGCUUCACGGAAGAGAGAAUUAUAGUUCCUGGUCGUUCGCUAUGAAGAUGGUGCUGAUAAGAGAAGGGAGCUGGAGUGCCGUGGAUGUAGCCGAAGGUGCAGCCGUGAAUCAAGAAGUUUCGUUGAGAGCCCUUGUCACAAUAUGACUUAGUAUUGAUCCAAUCAACUAUAACUUAGUUCAAGAAGCUAAAACAGCACAGGAAGCCUGGAUGAACCUCAAGAAUGCAUUCCAGGACAGCGGGAUGACCCGCCGCAUGGGUCUGCUGCGGAAGCUAACAGGUAUUCGUCUGGUCGAGUGCAGAUCUGUGGAAGAAUACGUAAAUGAAAUAAUGUCCACAAGUCAUAAGCUAGCGGAGGUUGGCUUCAAAGUGGAUGAUACAUGGCUGGCCAGUCUGCUGCUUAUGGGCCUUCCAGAGAAUUACGAGCCCAUGAUAAUGGGUCUGGAGGCUUGUGGCACGAAGAUUACGGCGGAUACAGUGAAGUCAAAAAUACUUCAAGACGUCAAAGUUGCAAGUGAUCCGAAGACAUCUAGUUCCGAUGGAGCGUUUAUCAGUCAUCAGAAGAAGUCAUCGAAGCACAAAUCGAGCGUGCAGUGCUUCUAGUGUAAGCGGCUCGGACAUUUCGCGUCAGAAUGCCAGCAAACGGUUGGCGGAUCGGAAAAUAAUCGACAGAAGUUUUCGCGGCUGAAGUUCUCGAAGAAUACGGCAUUCAGUGUUACAACGUCAUCAACCAACAGCGAGCAGUGGAUAUUCGAUUCUGGAGCGACAACUCACAUGUACCGUGACCUGCCUGUUUUGGAGAACCGUAGGAAGACAUCACAAACCGUAACUGUUGCAAACGAUGCCGAAGUCCCAGUAGUUGCCGUUGGAGAUGUGAAGCUAGAAGCUGACGUUGAAGGUAUUUCUUGCUCAGUUGUCUAAUGCUCUCUGUGUUCCAGAGCUUUCCAUAAAUCUACUGUCCAUAAGUCAAAUUUGUAAGAAAGGCCAUCGAGUUAUCUUUACGAGCGAUGCAUGUGAAGUCUACAAUGUUCAAUCCGGAUAGAUGGUUGCUGUAGGAUUCCAGAAAAAUGGCCUCUAUCAACUGAAGUUGACCAGCAAUCAAACUGCAUGUGCUGCCGGAUAUGACGGAAUUAUGGCAUCGACGAUUGGGGCAUAUGAACUACAGAAGCAUGGCGUUGUUGCGGACCAUGGCAACGGGCGCUGAUUUUGCAAUGACGAAGACUAAACCAUGUGUGCCGUGCAUCGAAGGUAAGCACCAGAGGUUACCAUUUAAAUCCAAGGGACCAAGGUCAACGGUGUAGUAUCAGGUGGACGUGCUCCGAAUGAGAUACUACUGAGUACCUACUGCAUAUGUAUAUGUAUAGAGUAAGCCAGCGAACGAUCUGAAUAAAUAAUAUAUUGUUGAGUUGUUUCGUGACUAUUAGUAAUCCUACAUUAUAGAGAUCUGCGGAGGCGGCCAUUGUGAGCCAAUCGUGCAGAGAGAACUGUCAAAGUGUGAGCCAAAUGAACAUGCUUAUCGUUCGUAGGAAUGCGUCGUUUGAACGGUAUUGCAAUCGGAACUAAAUAAAGAAAAAUUAUUUAUUUUUAAUAUCGAGAAAUUGGCGGCAUAUGUAUGUUUAGUAAAAGAUAAAAAUUUAGCAAUUCUGCUUUCAAAAGCUCAUGCUUAUGACGACACUUUUGUUGCUGAACUUGUCGAAAAAACUUCCAUUGCUGCUUCUUGCUUCACUUCUGCCGAUAUGAUUAGCGUAACACUUUUGCAAUGAAUUUCAGAUUUCUUUGAUUGCUCCGCUAUUUCAACAAAAUUUUGGGAAAAAAAUUCUACCAUAGUUAGAAAAUGUAAACAAAGCAACUUGAACCACAACGAAGUCACGCACAAAGUUUGAACAUCUAGCUUUGUAGCAAGUGUUGGCAGCUGUUGUAAACAAAACAAACAGUGUUGCCGAAUCGACGUAUGUAACUUCCGCUCAUCUCUAUGUAGAGGAUUUCUAGUGACUAUCGGCCUAACCAGAUGUGUUCUGUUAUUGCCCGUAUCCUCCGUGAUGAUUCCCCACCUCUUCGAUCUCCCAUGGUUUGGGAGAUGUUACAGUGGCGUACGAGGAUGAAGAUUUUUAUGAUUCGUAUGAAAAGUGUUUUGUUUUGCGUGCAUAAUCGUGUAGUGUGAUAAAUUUGUGAACCUCGAUGUGGCAUUUUGCUUUAUUUGGCUAUGAUUUGUUUUGUGUUUUUAUGUUUUUUUGUCCUUUGUGACAUUUUUCAUAACCAAAACAAUAGCCAAUUGUUAUUUGGUGAUGAUGAGUAGCAUUCAUCUUUCAUUCAGAGAUUUUCAUGUUUUAAUGCGCCCUUGGAUAAAAUCCUUUUUGCGUGGGUAGUUUUUAUACAGGGGAUAGACAAAAUGAUCGGGACAGGCAAAAUUUUCACUAUUCAAAAAAUGUUCAACUAGCUGUAACUUUUGGAAAAGUGCAUCAAAUAUUCUCAAUUUUUUACUGUAAGUUCUUCAACUAGUUGUGUAUCAGUGGACAAAAUUUGGAAAAGAUCGGACAAUUCUUCACGAAGUUAUAAAGAUUUUUGAAAAAGAUAAAAUUAUCCGAUAGCCAACUUUGAGCUGUUAUAUCUCCGGAUUCAAUGAACCGAUUGCAAUGAAAUUUUGGCAAUUCACGACUUAUAUAAUGAACUCUGAAAAACAUUUGACUUAACUUGAAUUUUUUAACAAGUGAAAAAGUUAUAGUGAUUUUAUUUUUUUCGCGAUUUUUUAGUAAAUUGGUCUAUUUUUAACAUGCAUCCCAUUACUUUUUCAACUUAUUGGCGGCUAUAUUGUUACUUUCCUUCAAAACGCAUUUAUAUAUAAGUCAAUUAGAGGGAAACUAAAUGAACUAUAAUUUGCAUCUUGAAUUUUGAAACGAUGUUGAUGUUUUGGAUAAUUUGGUGUUUUAUUAGAAAAAUAAUCUAAUCGUUAUAAUUUUCUUCCGUGUUAAGAAUAUUAAGUUAAGUCAAUGGUUUUUCAUAGCUCAUUAUAUAAGACAUAAAUGGUCAAAAUUUCAUUGCAUUCGGUUCAUUGGAUCCGGAGAUAUAACAGCUCAAAGUUGGCUAUCGGAUAAUUUUACCUUUUUCAAAAAUCUUAAUAACUUCGUGAAAAAUUGUCCGAUCUUUUCCAAAUUCUGUCCACUGAUACACAAUUAGUUGAAGAACUUACAGUAAAAAAUUGAGAAUAUUUGAUGCACUUUUCGAAAAGUUACAGCUAGUUGAACAUUUUUUGAAAAGUGAAAAUUUUGCCUGUCCCGAUCAUUUUGUCUAUCCCCUGUAUGUGACUACUUUUUCAUGAAUCUCUGUUUUAUCACCGUAUGUUUCGAGGCGCAAUUUUUGCUACCGUCACUAUUGAAAUGAUUUGGCGACAACGGUUACACGAAUCAGGAGGACAAUGGUGCAAGAUGGCUGAAAAACAGACAAUGGCCAGCACAUCUCUAUACUAGACAUGUUUAUUCAUUAUACGAUUGCACUUUAAGUUGUUGUGAAGCUUGCCGAUGACUAUUUCGUUGAUUUUUUCGAGAGGAAAAUAGCUAACUUUGCUUGGCAUGGAUGAAGCAGUAAUUUCAUCAAAAGAAGGGAAGGAUGGAGAAAGCAGUCGGUCGCAAGGAAAGAAGUGCUUCAGUGAUAGCCCGGAAAAAAAUAAACGAAGUUGAACCAUAUAAUAAUAGUGGCAUAAGUGAUUAUUUAAUAAGUUGUUCCCUCAACAGUUUUUCUCUUUAAUAGAUUGACGCUGUGAAUUAUAAUAUAUUUUCCAAUGUAUUGUAUAAUUGUAUAAUAACUCAGGAGAAUAAUCUGCAUGUUGUAUUUUAUAAUUCAUAUAAUACUACCUACAAAUAGUAGGCUUCAGAAAUAAAAAUGUUAUACGGUGCAUUCGAAUUCUAAUGGGUGAAGGAGUUGUAGUAUCAGGUGGACGUGCUCCGAAUGAGAUACUACUGAGUACCUACUGCAUAUGUAUAUGUAUAGAGUAAGCCAGCGAACGAUCUGAAUAAAUAAUAUAUUGUUGAGUUGUUUCGUGACUAUCGGCCUAA
Molecule: long non-coding RNA, 17047 nt
Organism: Aedes albopictus (Asian tiger mosquito)
Lineage: Eukaryota; Metazoa; Arthropoda; Insecta; Diptera; Culicidae
Exons: 2
Source: RefSeq, a predicted model, not a curated record